Long non-coding RNA from Alligator sinensis (Chinese alligator), 5153 nucleotides. RefSeq lists it as uncharacterized. The record is from RefSeq and is a predicted model, not a curated record. Lineage: Eukaryota; Metazoa; Chordata; Crocodylia; Alligatoridae. The transcript has 5 exons.
AACCACCUCCGGUGGCAGGCUGUUCCAGACCUUGGGGGCUCGGACAGGAAAGAAAUUCUUCCUUAUGUCCAGCCUGAAACGGUCUUGUAGUAGUUUGACUGUUCGACCUAGUCGCUUUGAUGCGAGUCCCCCGCAGGCUCAGCGGGACUUGCCUUGGGAAGGGCAGUACCAGGACUCGGUCGUGUGUUGCUUUCUGCUGAUGCUUGGUUAUAUUCAUUGCUCCCCUCCCCCACUUCCAUUACACACGUUUGCUUUUAUCUGUGCAGCUCCCUGUUGCUAGGAACAGCCACGAUGUUACAUGGCAGCCUUUGCAUCCAAAGCUGGGCAGUGAAUGCGGUGCAGGUACUGCAGAAUAACUUACCCAAGUUUUAUGCUGUAGUAAAUGCACUCCUUAGUAAGGAGUGGACAUUUGACCAGUUCUCCUAGGCUAGCUGCCUGCAGCGUGCUGUGUUAUAACUCCCGCCCUUUAGGUAAGCAGAGGAGCCGAUUGCAUGAUGCAAACGGCUACCUUGGGUUAAGGUUGAUAGGGGGAUGGACACAACGCUUAUUCCACAGUAAAUUACCCAGGUUUUAAUUGCUGCCAUUUUUUCAGCCUAACUGCCUGGGAAAAGAGACUUGCACUAUAACCAAGCUGUGUUGGGUCUGUCCCACUGUUACGAUGGAGUAAGGCAGCGCUAGAUUCAAGGUUCUCCUCAUUAGACUCCAGGGCUCCCUUCAAAAAGGCCAGUUCUUGGUUUUCACUCACCCUUUGACUGGAAAAAAUACUAGAUCAGUUCUUCUGUGGCAAAGAGCUCAGACCACAACAGGACAGAAUGGGUUUGACUUUCUGGAUUUAUCUUGUGAAUCAAGUGUAGGUGUUGGCGCACCUAACAGCGCGAAUGUUGCACAGUUCCCAGUUUUAAAGGAUUUCACGGCACCCUGGUUGAGAACUGGGGUAAACCCUGCAACACACCUGAAGCCCUCUGUGCCUCGCUGCUAGGAGCGGAAACCUGCAGGAACAGCAUUAAGCUUGUCAGGCCCUGAGUCCAAGCCAGCCGCCAGACCCUGGAGAACUUCCUCCAUCGCAGUUUCCUCCCAUGCUCUUGCCCAGCACGCUGCGUUCGGGAAAGCAAACAGCAGGCUAGAGCUCAGCACGAGGGGCUCGUCAUCUGGGCACCUGACAGCCCUUUGGCAGACUUGAGCAGAUGCCCUUGCUUCAGAGGGCGCUGGGCACAGCAAAGUGGGGGUCUCUGCAAAUCACCAGACCAAUAUGGCUACAGCCUGGAUACCUCUCAUUCAUGGGACAGUCGUGGCUAAUUCAAAUUAAUGGCCAUAAGCCACCAAUGCAGCUCGCUGGUUUUGACUUGGAUCAAUCAGCGCAGCCUCAAAUGCAGUGUCUGCUUUUACCCCUCACUUGACCAGAACCUGUCCCAGGUCUCGGCUGUCACUUGGCCAGCACAAAGGUGUCCGUCCCUUAACUUCAACGGGGGUCAUGGCACCGUUUCGGAGAUGAAGGGGGUCCCAGGUAAGUGAUGCCCCAGCUGGCACAUCAAAGGUCCCUGAGGUUUGGAGCCCCAAGGGGGAACUGACCCCCUGUUCCUGGUCAUUAUGUGAACUCCCAGGAAAGCUGCAUGAGAGCAAAUCUGCCUCCACGCAGUUUCUGCCUGGUCUGUGCCGCAUGCAUAGGGAAGCUUGUACGUCCUCCCUAGACUGAGGCCAGCACUUACAAUGUUUCAGAGCGGUCUCGCUGCCUGGAAGCCUCAUCAGUUUAAAAGCCCCGCAGCCAGGACUCGCUUAGCAUCUUGUAAUCUACUGAGAUUUUUGCAUGUCUGCAUCCAGGCUCCUGACUGUGAAUUAUCUCCUUUAUUAACUGCUCACUGGAGAGAGACACUGCUCCGAUGGCCUCUCAGACGGAAAAUGAGGCCAUUAAUCGGCGUAAUCACCUGCCAGCCUUUUUGGCUUUGCAGACCCUGGUAGUGAGAAUGCCUUGCACAUUAAAACCAUGUCCCCUGCAUGCUCCGGCCUGUCUGUCUUGUAGGCGGGCAGGGAUGGCCAUGCUAGUGAUACAGAGGCUUGAAUGCCAUGGUAGGAAGGAGCUGCCAUACUUCUCUCAAGGGUACUUGCAUGUUCUGACAUCUUUCUCCCAUAACUGCCCCGCUGCUGUCCUAGCCCGUUGGCUUGUUACUCCCUAAUUCAUAUCUGCUUUCACUCUUUCAGGCCACCUUGGUCACCGAACUGUCUAUCACCUGCCGCGUCUUUUCCUGAGGAAGACGGAUCCCAAAUGCAGCUCAUUUUAGCCACAAAAGGAAGAACACAGGGAGAGCCUCAUUUUCAUAAAUGGCCAUUUUCUAGAGAAAGCACUUGAACAAAUCGAUGCCAGCAGUUACUUCCCCAAGCCUGAUUUUUACCAGUCAUUCUUCCAGUUUCCUCCAGCUCCAAACUCCCUCCCGCUUGGUCACGGCCCGCGUCGCCUGAGUGGCGUUGAACGAGGAUGGUCCUUUGCUAACGGGAUCGCUCUGCAUUCAUUCAGGCCCUGUCUUCAAGCACGCUGCACUGCUCUGUCCAUGCAGCUCCGUGGGCCAGCUAAUUAGCUCAGGGUAGGCUAAUUGGCACUGCUAGUUAGCCAGGCUGAAGGGCCUGCGCUGCUUCUGGUUCAGGAGUCGGCCCGCCAAGAGCAGCACCAUUGCUUGAGGAUGCCCUGCAUGGGCACGGUGACUUUCCCAUGCUGUGAAAUGGCCUCAGAUCGUCAGCCUUGUAAAGCUACAUUCCUCCUGUGCCGUGUGCGGGGUAUGUAAGGACAGCCUGCGUGCCAGGAGGGGUUUCUAACCUGAACUUGAAAGUCAAGUCACCCAUCUGGGGAGGGUCUCUACAAGGCCAUUGCAGUCCUUGAUGUCCUGUUUCACCCCUAAUUCUAGCCCGGAGUGGCGACGGCUCACGGUGCUGUAGUGCUAGUCCUUUGUGAUAUGAAAUGUUUAGGCAAACUUUGAAAUAUACCCAAAAAGCCGCCGUUGUCUCCUGGAUUUAUGACUGUGGAGUUAAAAUGAGCUGUCAACGAUCUCGCGUGGCCGUGCCCAGACCCCGGUCAGGAAGAGAGAUGCUUUGUGCUCGUUGCGAAGGUCUGAGCCUUGCAAGAGGCUCUCGGAUGCAGGGGUGCACCCUUGCUCAGACACGCUCCGGUGUCACUGGGGCUGGAUGGACACGAGGGGUCUGCCUCUGUGCAGGGACCGCAGAGACAAGCCCAUGCCUCGCCUCCAUGCUGCCCAUCCAGGGUGGCUUAUCCGCCUGGGGCAGUCGGCAUGAACGUUGCCUCCUUUCCUUGGCAGCCUCCAGAGCCACGCACGGAGGCUGUUCCUCGCAGGGCAGGCCAGGGACCUUGUGGUCCCACAGAAAUCGCACCCGGUGGCUUUUGGUUUCCUUCCUGAUGGCUGCAGGAUCGUAUGGCGUUGUUUUCCCUCUGCUGAGAGAGGUUGGUUUAACAUUGUAGGAGGGAAAUGGGUUGCACCCGCUGUCCGGGGGCUGCAACCGGAGGGGGUUGGCCGGCUUCUGGAAGGACAGCUUUGGGAGAUGCCGCCCUGACUUCCUGCAGCUGACCCCAGCUCGGAUCCUGGACUCGCAUUCAAGACAGACGUCUGUCCUGCAGGGCAAAGUGGCCCUGGAGGAUGGAGGCUGUGGGGUGUCUAGAUAAGGUGUGGGACUCGUUCUUCCAGCCGGCGCUGGCUGUGUUGAGGGUGGAGGGGUGCUUUGAUUUACGGGGUGCCUUGGUGUCACCAGCAGAGCAAGGGAUGCUUCAGGGGAAGGAGACGCAGUCCUUUCUAAUAGUCAUCCAACACCUCCUCGGGCGGGUGCUGGGGAGGGUGCCCGUGAUGGUCCGAAGCCAGGCUGGGCACCCUCCUGAGAGCCAAGCCCGGCGCCUCGGGGCCGCUCUGUGCUGGCGGUGAGGAGCAGAUGGCCCAAAGCCCCUGCAGGCGUGUGGCCCAGAGCCAUCUUCUUUAUCCAGGGCUACUCUGGGCUGUCUCCUCCACAAGCUGAAGGGCCCAGAUGCAGAUGAAGAAGGCUGGAGGGCAUGGCACUUUUUCUUGGCAGCCUCGUCUCAGUUAGGAGGCAUUUGGAGAGAUGCUGCUAGAGUGGGUGGCCUCGCUGUGCCGGCUGCAAUGGGGAGCGUCCCGACCAGUCUAAACGUGCUGGGUUGGACUGGGGAAAGCAGUGGGAGAAUGUAAUUUGGUUGUGUUAGUAUAACUGGCAAGGGAAGCCAACGUAGCUUAGCUUGUCCUGAAGCACAAGGGGAGACGGCACCAAAAAAGGGUGCUGGUUUUCAAAAUCCUUUUUUAUUUUUUUCCCCCUGCUAGUGUUAAAGCGUGCUGUAACUGUGAGGGUUCAGGAAUGAUGCAAAAUGCAAGGGUUUCUUAGGGUGACCUGAUGGAGUGCCUUGCCUUUGAAAGUUUGUCUGACUCUUUCCUAACUAUAACAGGUCCAAUAAAAGACAUCACCCAAAGAAAUCCUUUCUUUUUUUUCCUUGAAUGCUUUGUUCCAGCAGCUAAAUACACAUGGGUUCUUGUGAGGAGGCAGCAGAGCACUCGAAUGUGGGUUUAAGGGGUGUUUUGUGAAGCUGACAAAUUCCCAGUGACCAGGGGCGCAGGGGGCUGGUCGUUUUGAGUCGUCCAAGGAAAGGCAAUGGCAGGGGUUGAAAUAUUUGGUGCUAGCUUUGCAUAGAGGGACUGUACACCCUGUAUCCAUUGGUGCUGCAGCCCCCCGUGAUCUGGCUAGACCACGGCUAGAGCCAAAACCAAGACUGCCGUGAUGUCCGUCGGCAAGCUCCAGUAUGCCGAUGAUGCUGUAGCACGCGCUUCAUGCACCGACAUCAGCUCCUGGGACCAGACGGAGGAAGUCUGCUGCAGGGAUCUUGGUACUUUGAAACCUCAUGACAUCAACCGGAGAUGGAAAAGCAGGAGCGGCAGAAGCAGCGUGUCGCUGACCGAAGCAAGAGUCUGGAGCCACCCACCCCGCACGGAAACACGUGCCUGAGUUGCAACAGAGCCUGUUGAUCCCGGAUCGGCCUCAUCAGCCAUCUUUGGACCCAUGGAUAAAGCGGAAGCCAAUCAUCCUCGACUGCGAAGGAUUGCCGCUGCCGAGGCAUUUAACCCAGAGAUUUCCAUCGCUAGACACUGAAGGAAAGC